ACAUGACUUUUCUAGAGAAGAUGAGAAGGAACUAAUUUUAAACACCUGGCCUUGGUCUGAUGCAUCCGUUACCUCCACCAGAAAGGAUGGCUAAAGGCAGAAGAGCCUGAGAGAGGAGACCCACGUGGCACACACUGCCGUACACUUCCACAAAGACUGGAUUUUUCCAUAGUCAGAAGGCAGCUGAACUCCAUAGGAUAUGAUGUGAGCAAGAGCAGGAAAGCACCUAGAAAAGGCCAUGUGAGAACAUAGUAUGCAGGUGGCCACCUGCAAUCCAGGAAGAAAUCUGCCACCAAGAACCGAAUUGGCAGGCACCUUGAUCUUGGACUUAUGGUCUCCAGAAUGGUGAGAAAGUAAAUUUCUGUUGUUUUAGUCACCUAGCCUGUGGUAUUUUGUAAUGAUAAUCUGAGCAGACUAAGAGAAUAAGUAAUCAUUUUAAGUUAGAGUACAUAUCACUUACCAGGGACCUUGGGGAAAUAUUGAGUCUUGAAGGUAAAGACAGUUGAAGACCUGGUGGAUGGGACAGGAAGGCACCUGAAUUUAAGGAUGACUUUCUUAAAUAGCUUAGUGAGCUUUGAUGGCUUCGUGGGAAAUGCCUAGAGUGUUUGUUGCUUCCCACAACAGGACAUAGUGGUCAUCUUGAACACACAGGAGAAAAUUUUAUGCCCCAGUUCAUCCUCCGCAGAAGAGGAUGCUUUCCUCACUACCAAGUUGAAACUCAGGGCGGCUUUUUUUUUUGCCUCUUGUUAAAUGUUCUCUUGCAACCAUGGGGCAAGUAAAGAUCUAAGAUGUCUGUUUUUUUGCAUGGAGUUGCAAUGACAGCUAGGAACAAUGGCAAGGCAAGAUGAAAGGUGGCCACUAGAAGAGCAGGGUGACUACCUGAAGGAAUCUAUUACUUUGCCUAAAAAAAUACUCUUGCUAGAUUAAGCUUUCUUGUGACUUCUAUACAGUGAUCCUAAUUGUGUUUCUUGGAUUCAGCAGAAAUACUCCCACCACUAUGACCAGCUAAUUUUGUGUGUGUGUGUGUGUGUGUGUGUGUGUGUGUGUGUGUGUGUGUACUUUUAGUAGAGACGGGGUUUUACCAUGUUGGACAGGCUGGCCUCGAACUCCUGAUCUCUUGAUUCGCCCGCCUUGGCCUCUCAAAGUGCUGGGAUUACAGGUGAGAUGGAGUUAUUUCUUUAUGUUAUUUACUCUGUCUACAGCCAGAAAACAUUGCAAAAUUUAAUCAAAUUGUCUAACUCAGUAGAUAUUAAAUGAAAUUAUGGCAGAAAUCUAUGUGAAGUAGGCUCCUUUUUAAUAAUUUUUUUUUAUCCUUUCCAUCAUUCCUAUUCUUAUCUAUCUAUUAGGACCCAGUUCAAAUCCAAGAUUGCUAUAGAUUCAUUUUUAAUUACACGAUUCAUGAGAUUUUUAUCUUUGUCUCUGCUUUCUUGCAUAGCUUUGAAUUUGUACUUCCUAUUCUAACAUUUUUUAAUACUGAGGAUGAUGUUUGCCUUUUCCAGCCAAGAAAUUCUGAACUGCACGC
Molecule: long non-coding RNA, 1522 nt
Filed under: Homo sapiens (human)
Lineage: Eukaryota; Metazoa; Chordata; Mammalia; Primates; Hominidae
Description: HSALNT0154680
Source: RNAcentral